GCAAGUCGAGGGGUAACAGGUAGCUUGCUAUGCUGACGACCGGCGCACGGGUGCGUAACGCGUAUAGAAUCUGCCUUACACUGAGGGAUAGCCUUUGGAAACGAAGAUUAAUACCUCAUAGUAUUGUUGAAUGGCAUCAUUUAACAAUUAAAGGUUACGGUGUAAGAUGACUAUGCGUCCUAUUAGCUAGAUGGUAAGGUAACGGCUUACCAUGGCUACGAUAGGUAGGGGCCCUGAGAGGGGGAUC
RNAcentral lists this ribosomal RNA (247 nucleotides) under uncultured bacterium. Its description in RNAcentral is "partial 16S ribosomal RNA". It matches the Rfam family "Bacterial small subunit ribosomal RNA", at positions 57 to 305 of the family's 1533-position model. The record is from RNAcentral.